GAUGAACGCUAGCUACAGGCUUAACACAUGCAAGUCGCGGGGCAGCAUGGGGGUUGCUUGCAAUCCUCGAUGGCGACCGGCGCACGGGUGAGUAACGCGUAUCCAACCUGCCCUUCACCACGGGAUAACCCGGCGAAAGUCGGACUAAUACCGUAUGUUGUCCAUUGACGGCAUCCGAUUUGGACGAAAGGUUUGGCGGUGAAGGAUGGGGAUGCGUCCGAUUAGCUGGACGGCGGGGUGACGGCCCACCGUGGCGACGAUCGGUAGGGGUUCUGAGAGGAAGGUCCCCCACACUGGAACUGAGACACGGUCCAGACUCCUACGGGAGGCAGCAGUGAGGAAUAUUGGUCAAUGGGCGUAAGCCUGAACCAGCCAAGUAGCGUGCAGGAUGACGGCCCUAUGGGUUGUAAACUGCUUUUAUGCGGGGAUAAAGUGGCCCACGUGUGGGUUUUUGCAGGUACCGCAUGAAUAAGGACCGGCUAAUUCCGUG
This 490-nucleotide ribosomal RNA is filed under the name uncultured bacterium. RNAcentral describes it as "partial 16S ribosomal RNA". It matches the Rfam family "Bacterial small subunit ribosomal RNA", at positions 28 to 507 of the family's 1533-position model. The record is from RNAcentral.